Molecule: small RNA, 106 nt
Filed under: Mytilus galloprovincialis (Mediterranean mussel)
Lineage: Eukaryota; Metazoa; Mollusca; Bivalvia; Mytilida; Mytilidae
Source: RNAcentral
GAACACAGGCACUUGUCUCAGAUUUUUUUUCCCCAAUAUAUCUUUAUAUGUGUUAUAUUAAGGUACAUAUAUAGGUAAAAAAAAUCUGAGACAAGUGCCUGUGUAC